This 298-nucleotide signal recognition particle RNA is filed under the name Aotus nancymaae (Ma's night monkey). Its description in RNAcentral is "Metazoan signal recognition particle RNA (ENSANAG00000003517.1)". It matches the Rfam family "Metazoan signal recognition particle RNA". From Rfam's summary of the family: The signal recognition particle (SRP) is a universally conserved ribonucleoprotein. It is involved in the co-translational targeting of proteins to membranes. The eukaryotic SRP consists of a 300-nucleotide 7S RNA and six proteins: SRPs 72, 68, 54, 19, 14, and 9. Lineage: Eukaryota; Metazoa; Chordata; Mammalia; Primates; Aotidae. The record is from RNAcentral.
CCUGUAUGUAAAAUUUGUGGUGUGGACCUAGCUAUUCAGGAGGCUGAGGUAGAAGGAUUACUUGAUCCCAGGAGUUCUGGGCUAUAGUGCUCUGUGCUAAUCAGGUGUCUACACUUAAGUUCAGCAUCAAUAUGGUGACUUCCCAGGAGAGGAGGACCACAAAGUUGCCUAAGGAGGGAUGAAUUGGUCCAGGUCAGAAGCAGAGGAGGUCAAAACUCCUAUGUAGUUCAGUAGUGGUAUUGUGCCUGUGAAUAGCCACUAUACUCUAGCCUGGGCAACAUAGUAAGACCCUGUCUCU